ACUUAGUGGCAGACGGGUGAGUACAUGUAGGUAUCUGCCCUUUGGCCUGGACCUUUCAAUGAAACUUGUGCUAAUACCGGAUAAGUCUUUACGGAGAAAGCUUUAUGCACCAUUGGAUGAGCCUGCACUUGAUUAGUUUGUUGGUGGGGUAAUGGCCUACCAAGACUGUGAUCAAUAGCUGAUUUGAGAGGAUGAUCAGCCACAUUGGGACUGAGACACGGCCCAAACUCCUACGGGAGGCAGCAGUGGGGAAUCUUGCACAAUGGAGGAAACUCUGAUGCAGCGAUGCCGCGUGAGUGAAGAAGGCCUUUGGGUUGUAAAGCUCUUUCGUCGGGGAAGAAAAUGACUGUACCCGAAUAAGAAGGUCCGGCUAACUUCGUGCCAGCAGCCGCGGUAAUACGAAGGGACCUAGCGUAGUUCGGAAUUACUGGGCUUAAAGAGUUCGUAGGUGGUUGAAAAAGUUAGUGGUGAAAUCCCAGAGCUUAACUCUGGAACUGCCAUUAAAACUUUUCAGCUAGAGUAUGAUAGAGGAAAGCAGAAUUUCUAGUGUAGAGGUGAAAUUCGUAGAUAUUAGAAAGAAUACCAAUUGCGAAGGCAGCUUUCUGGAUCAUUACUGACACUGAGGAACGAGAGCAUGGGUAGCGAAGAGGAUUAGAUACCCUCGUAGUCCAUGCCGUAAACGAUGCGUGUUAGACGUUGGAAAUUUAUUUUCAGUGUCGCAGCGAAAGCGAUAAACACACCGC
RNAcentral lists this ribosomal RNA (743 nucleotides) under uncultured Candidatus Pelagibacter sp. RNAcentral's name for it is "bacterial SSU rRNA". It matches the Rfam family "Bacterial small subunit ribosomal RNA", at positions 90 to 872 of the family's 1533-position model. Lineage: Bacteria; Pseudomonadati; Pseudomonadota; Alphaproteobacteria; Candidatus Pelagibacterales; Candidatus Pelagibacteraceae. The record is from RNAcentral.